UACGGGGGGGGUAAGCGUUGUUCGGAAUUACUGGGCGUAAAGGGUUCGUAGGUGGCUUGCUAAGUCAGACGUGAAAUCCCUCAGCUUAACUGGGGAACUGCGUCUGAUACUGGCGAGCUUGAGUGCAGGAGAGGAACGCAGAAUUCCAGGUGUAGCGGUGAAAUGCGUAGAUAUCUGGAGGAAUACCGGUGGCGAAGGCGGCGUUCUGGACUGCAACUGACACUGAUGAACGAAAGCCAGGGGAGCAAACGGG
RNAcentral lists this ribosomal RNA (253 nucleotides) under uncultured bacterium. RNAcentral's name for it is "partial 16S ribosomal RNA". It matches the Rfam family "Bacterial small subunit ribosomal RNA", at positions 524 to 776 of the family's 1533-position model. The record is from RNAcentral.